AUACGUAGGGUGCGAGCGUUGUCCGGAAUUACUGGGCGUAAAGAGCUCGUAGGUGGUUUGUCGCGUCGUCUGUGAAAUUCCGGGGCUUAACUCCGGGCGUGCAGGCGAUACGGGCAUAACUUGAGUACUGUAGGGGAGACUGGAAUUCCUGGUGUAGCGGUGAAAUGCGCAGAUAUCAGGAGGAACACCGGGGGCGAAGGCGGGUCUCAGGGCAGUAACUGACGCUGAGGAGCGAAAGCAUGGGUGGCGAACCGGAUUAGAUACCCUGGUAGUCCAUGCCGUAAACGGUGGGCGUUCGGUGUAGGGGUCUUCCACGACUUCUUUGCCGUAGCUAACGCGUUAAGCGCCCCGCCUGGGGAGUACGGCCGCAAGGCUAAAACUCAAAGGAAUUGACGGGG
This 398-nucleotide ribosomal RNA is filed under the name uncultured bacterium. RNAcentral's name for it is "partial 16S ribosomal RNA". It matches the Rfam family "Bacterial small subunit ribosomal RNA", at positions 523 to 918 of the family's 1533-position model. The record is from RNAcentral.